UUGUCACAAUCACUAUGUUUGUUGUAUGUCCAAUUUAGCUGGAUCUGGAGCUAAGAAUGGUCUUAUAUCAAAUUUUAAGUCCAGGCAAAAGACAUCUGAAAUAAGCUUCAAGACUGAAUCCAUGUCACAACCAAAGUCAACAUUAAUGCCUCCAGUGAGGCUGGGAUUUCAUGCCAAAUGCUUCCUGAGCUGAUGUUCCAAGAGUUUUGAAGUUUACUCAUCUCUAGUCUCUAACGAUCCAAGAAUCUGCCUACUUUCUUUUCUAUUCUAAGGCACUGCUGUCAGUGAUGUGAACAACAGUUUCAUGGGAAAAAAUA
Long non-coding RNA from Gavialis gangeticus (Gharial), 317 nucleotides. RefSeq lists it as uncharacterized. The record is from RefSeq and is a predicted model, not a curated record. The transcript has 2 exons. Lineage: Eukaryota; Metazoa; Chordata; Crocodylia; Gavialidae.